This 145-nucleotide ribosomal RNA is filed under the name Mediterraneibacter gnavus. Its description in RNAcentral is "[Ruminococcus] gnavus partial 23S ribosomal RNA". It matches the Rfam family "Bacterial large subunit ribosomal RNA", at positions 2783 to 2925 of the family's 2925-position model. The record is from RNAcentral. Lineage: Bacteria; Bacillati; Bacillota; Clostridia; Lachnospirales; Lachnospiraceae.
AAGCGUGAAGCCCCCCUCAAGAUGAGAUAUCCCAUAACGUCAAGUUAGUAAGACCCCUUGAAGACGACGAGGUAGAUAGGGCAGAGGUGGAAGUGCGGUAACGCAUGGAGCUGACUGUUACUAAUAGGUCGAGGGUAUAACCAAG